AGCUUUCUGAAUCUGUGCAAGGAUUUAAUCAGACACCAAUCCAAUAGUGCUGACCAGACUUCCAAGAUAAGUAAAGUU
Molecule: microRNA precursor, 78 nt
Filed under: Schistosoma mansoni
Lineage: Eukaryota; Metazoa; Platyhelminthes; Trematoda; Strigeidida; Schistosomatidae
Description: mir-3492 microRNA precursor family
Rfam family: mir-3492 microRNA precursor family
Source: Rfam by way of RNAcentral